GAUGAACGCUGGCGGCGUGCCUAAUACAUGCAAGUCGAGCGAACAGACGAGGAGCUUGCUCCUCUGACGUUAGCGGCGGACGGGUGAGUAACACGUGGAUAACCUACCUAUAAGACUGGGAUAACUUCGGGAAACCGGAGCUAAUACCGGAUAAUAUAUUGAACCGCAUGGUUCAAUAGUGAAAGACGGUUUUGCUGUCACUUAUAGAUGGAUCCGCGCCGCAUUAGCUAGUUGGUAAGGUAACGGCUUACCAAGGCAACGAUGCGUAGCCGACCUGAGAGGGUGAUCGGCCACACUGGAACUGAGACACGGUCCAGACUCCCACGGGAGGCAGCAGUAGGGAAUCUUCCGCAAAGGGCGAAAGCCUGACGGAGCAACGCCGCGUGAGUGAUGAAGGUCUUCGGAUCGUAAAACUCUGUUAUUAGGGAAGAACAAAUGUGUAAGUAACUAUGCACGUCUUGACGGUACCUAAUCAGAAAGCCACGGCUAACUACGUG
Molecule: ribosomal RNA, 497 nt
Filed under: uncultured bacterium
Lineage: Bacteria
Description: partial 16S ribosomal RNA
Rfam family: Bacterial small subunit ribosomal RNA
Source: RNAcentral